RNAcentral lists this ribosomal RNA (644 nucleotides) under Acarospora sp. RNAcentral describes it as "SSU rRNA". It matches the Rfam family "Bacterial small subunit ribosomal RNA", at positions 385 to 1112 of the family's 1533-position model. The record is from RNAcentral. Lineage: Eukaryota; Fungi; Ascomycota; Lecanoromycetes; Acarosporales; Acarosporaceae.
GCUAGUUGUAUUAUUAGUUAAUGCAAGAUCGACUACGUCGACUAAAGUUCUAGGUAGAAUAAUGAUGAUGACAAUUUUUUACCUAUAUGUCUUGACCAAGUCUCGUGCCAGCAGUCGCGGUAAUACGUGGAAGACUAGUGUUAUUCAUCUUUAUUAGGUUUAAAGGGUACCUAGACGGUAUUUCUAGCCCAAAAUAGGGUACGGAUUUACUAGAGUUUUAUGUGAGGAGGGGAGUACUCAUGGAGUAGAGAUGAAAUUUUGUUAUACUAUGAGGUAACUGGUGGCGGCGAAAGCAACCUUCUAUGUAUAAACUGACGUUGAGGGACGAAGGCUUGGGUAGCAAAUAGGAUUAGAUACCCUAGUAGUCCAAGCAGACAAUUCUGAAUGCCAUAGAUUAGAUUAUUUUUGGUCUAUAAAUGAAAGUGUAAGCAUUCCACCUUAGGAGUAAUGUGGCAACACAGGAACUGAAAUCAUUAGACCGUUUCUGAAACCAGUAGUGAAGUAUGUUAUUUAAAUUGAUGGUCCACAAAAAACCUUACCACAACUUGAAUAUUUUUUUAAUUAAUACAAGCGUUGCACGGCUGUCUUCAGUUAAUGUCGUGAGAUUUUGGUUAACUCCAUUAAUUAACGUAAACCCUUACUUU